Molecule: ribosomal RNA, 253 nt
Filed under: uncultured bacterium
Lineage: Bacteria
Description: partial 16S ribosomal RNA
Rfam family: Bacterial small subunit ribosomal RNA
Source: RNAcentral
UACGUAGGGUGCGAGCGUUGUCCGGAAUUAUUGGGCGUAAAGGGCUCGUAGGCGGUUUGUCGCGUCGGGAGUGAAAACCAGGUGCUUAACACCUGGCUUGCUUUCGAUACGGGCAGACUAGAGGUAUUCAGGGGAGAACGGAAUUCCUGGUGUAGCGGUGAAAUGCGCAGAUAUCAGGAGGAACACCGGUGGCGAAGGCGGUUCUCUGGGCAUGACCUGACGCUGAGGAGCGAAAGUGUGGGGAGCGAACAGG